RNAcentral lists this transfer RNA (70 nucleotides) under Stomatella planulata. Its description in RNAcentral is "tRNA-Met". The record is from RNAcentral. Lineage: Eukaryota; Metazoa; Mollusca; Gastropoda; Trochida; Trochidae.
UAGUAGGAUAAGCUAAGUUGAAGCUGUCGGGUUCAUACCUCGAAUAUGGUAUUGUAAGACCUCCUAUUAU